RNAcentral lists this small nucleolar RNA (133 nucleotides) under Pogona vitticeps (central bearded dragon). RNAcentral's name for it is "U8 small nucleolar RNA (ENSPVIG00000022671.1)". It matches the Rfam family "U8 small nucleolar RNA". From Rfam's summary of the family: U8 is a member of the C/D class of snoRNA which contain the C (UGAUGA) and D (CUGA) box motifs. U8 is the RNA component of a small complex (the U8 snoRNP) which is required for accumulation of mature large subunit ribosomal RNAs, 5.8S and 28S rRNAs. U8 RNA has been identified in human, mouse, rat and Xenopus. The record is from Rfam by way of RNAcentral. Lineage: Eukaryota; Metazoa; Chordata; Lepidosauria; Squamata; Agamidae.
UCGUCAGUGAGGUAUAUCCUUACCUGUUCCUCCUCCGGGAGAACAGCAGAUGAUGAAUGGAGAGCGGAUGAGACCUGAUUAAGAGUCUCCGCUGGUCGGGAACCAGCAACACCCCGGCUUGCUCCUUUCUGAU